GAUGAAGAACGCAGCGAAAUGCGAUAAGUAAUGUGAAUUGCAGAAUUCAGUGAAUCAUCGAAUCUUUGAACGCACAUUGCGCCCGCCAGUAUUCUGGCGGGCAUGCCUGUUCGAGCGUCAGUUCAACCAUCAAGCCCCCGGCUUGUGUUGGGGACCUGCGGCUGCCGCAGGCCCUGAAAAGCAGUGGCGGGCUCGCUGUCACACCGAGCGUAGUAGCAUACAUCUCGCUCUGGGCGUGCUGCGGGUUCCGGCCGUUAAACCACCUUCAUAACCCAAGGUUGACCUCGGAUCAGGUAGGAAGACCCGCUGAACUUAAGCAUAUCAAUAAGCGGAGGA
RNAcentral lists this unclassified non-coding RNA (336 nucleotides) under soil metagenome. RNAcentral's name for it is "partial contains 5.8S ribosomal RNA, internal transcribed spacer 2, and large subunit ribosomal RNA". The stretch from base 1 to 120 matches the Rfam family "5.8S ribosomal RNA", at positions 35 to 154 of the family's 154-position model. The record is from RNAcentral.